RNAcentral lists this long non-coding RNA (1076 nucleotides) under Salmo salar (Atlantic salmon). RNAcentral's name for it is "lncRNA (ENSSSAG00000118851.1)". The record is from RNAcentral. Lineage: Eukaryota; Metazoa; Chordata; Actinopteri; Salmoniformes; Salmonidae.
GAUCUAGCUUGGUCUAGGUUGGUCUAGGUUGGUCUAGGUUAGUCUAGGUUAGUCUAGGUUGGUCUAGGUUAGUCUAGGUUGGUCUAGGUUGGUCUAGGUUAGUCUAGGUUGGUCUAGGUUAGUCUAGGUUGGUCUAGGUUGGUCUAGCUUGAUUAUGUUGGUCUAGGUUGGUCUAGGUUGGUCUAGGUUGGUCUAGGUUGGUCUAGGUUAGUCUAGGUUGGUCUAGGUUGGUCUAGGUUAGUCUAGGUUGGUCUAGGUUGAUUAUGUUGGUCUAGGUUGGUCUAGGUUAGUCUAGGUUGGUCUAGGUUGAUUAUGUUGAUCUAGGUUGGUCUAGGUUGGUUAUGUUGGUCUAGGUUGGUCUAGGUUGGUCUAGGUUGAUCUAGGUUGAUUAUGUUGGUCUAGGUUGGUCUAGGUUGGUCUAGGUUAGUCUAGGUUGGUCUAGGUUGGUCUAGGUUGGUCUGGGUUGGUCUAGGUUGGUUAUGUUGGUCUAGGUUGGUCUAGGUUGAUCUAGGCUUGUCUAGGUUGGUCUAGGUUGGUUAUGUUGAUCUAGGUUGGUCUAGGUUGGUCUAGGUUGGUCUAGGUUAGUCUAGGUUGGUCUAGGUUGGUCUAGGUUAGUCUAGGUUGGUCUAGGUUGGUCUAGGUUAGUCUAGGUUGGUCUAGGUUGGUCUAGCUUGAUUAUGUUGGUCUAGGUUGGUCUAGGUUGGUCUAGGUUGGUCUAGGUUGAUUAUGCUGGUCUAGGUUGGUCUAGUUUGGUCUAGGUUCGUCUAGGUUGAUUAUGUUGAUCUAUGUUGGUCUAGGUUGGUCUAGGUUGAUCUAGGUUAGUCUAGGUUGGUCUAGGUUGGUCUAGGUUGGUCUGGGUUGGUCUAGGUUGGUCUAGGUUGGUCUAGGUUGAUUAUGUUGGUCUAGGUUGGUUAUGUUGAUCUAGGUUGGUCUAGGUUGAUUAUGUUGGUCUAGGUUGGUCUAGGUUGGUCUAGGCUUGUCUAGGUUGGUCUAGGUUGGUUAUGUUGAUCUAGGUUGGUCUAGGUUGGUCUAGGUUGGUCUAGGUUGAUCUAGGUUGAUCUAGGUUUGUCUCGGUU